CAGUUCGGUCCCUAUCCGUCGUGGGCGUAGGAAAUUUGAGAGGAGCUGUCCUUAGUACGAGAGGACCGGGAUGGACAUACCUCUGGUGUACCAGUUGUCGUGCCAACGGCAUAGCUGGGUAGCUAUGUAUGGACGGGAUAAGUGCUGAAAGCAUCUAAGCAUGAAGCCCCCCUCAAGAUGAGAUUUCCCAACUUCGGUUAUAAGAUCCCUCGAAGAUGACGAGGUUAAUAGGUUCGAGGUGGAAGCGUGGUGACACGUGGAGCUGACGAAUACUAAUCGAUCGAAGACUUAAUCAA
This 296-nucleotide ribosomal RNA is filed under the name Staphylococcus epidermidis NIHLM095. Its description in RNAcentral is "partial 23S ribosomal RNA". It matches the Rfam family "Bacterial large subunit ribosomal RNA", at positions 2627 to 2925 of the family's 2925-position model. Lineage: Bacteria; Bacillati; Bacillota; Bacilli; Caryophanales; Staphylococcaceae. The record is from RNAcentral.